Molecule: ribosomal RNA, 376 nt
Filed under: Phyllomedusa vaillantii (white-lined leaf frog)
Lineage: Eukaryota; Metazoa; Chordata; Amphibia; Anura; Hylidae
Description: partial 16S ribosomal RNA
Rfam family: Bacterial large subunit ribosomal RNA
Source: RNAcentral
GUGACUCUGUUCAACGGCCGCGGUAUCCUAACCGUGCGAAGGUAGCGUAAUCACUUGUUCUUUAAAUGAGGACUAGUAUGAACGGCACUACGAGGGUUACACUGUCUCCUUUUCCAAAUCAGUGAAACUAAUCUCCCCGUGAAGAAGCGGGAAUAAACCUAUAAGACGAGAAGACCCUAUGGAGCUUCAAACUUCCCAGCAAUUAUUUUUUACUAAUUCAAUCUCAAGAUAAUAAAAUGAACCCUUAUAAUAUGACUGCAAGUUUUCGGUUGGGGUGACCACGGAGUAAAAUCCACCCUCCACAAUGAAUUAUAAACCUUAGCUUUAAACAAAGAAACACAAUUCUAUGUAUCAAAAAAUUGACAUUAUUGACCCA